This 76-nucleotide transfer RNA is filed under the name Pseudomonas atacamensis. RNAcentral describes it as "tRNA-Thr". It matches the Rfam family "tRNA". Rfam says of the family: Transfer RNA (tRNA) molecules are approximately 80 nucleotides in length. Their secondary structure includes four short double-helical elements and three loops (D, anti-codon, and T loops). The record is from RNAcentral. Lineage: Bacteria; Pseudomonadati; Pseudomonadota; Gammaproteobacteria; Pseudomonadales; Pseudomonadaceae.
GCCGUCAUAGCUCCAGUGGUAGAGCAUUCGCCUUGUAAGCGAAUGGCCCGGGGUUCGAAUCCUCGUGACGGCACCA